Molecule: ribosomal RNA, 253 nt
Filed under: uncultured bacterium
Lineage: Bacteria
Description: partial 16S ribosomal RNA
Rfam family: Bacterial small subunit ribosomal RNA
Source: RNAcentral
GACAGAGGAGGCGAGCGUUAUCCGGAGUAAUUGGGCGUAAAGGGUACGUAGGCGGCUAGUCAAGUCUGAGGUUAAAGACCACAGCUCAACUGUGGGAAGGCCUUGGAAACUGACUGGCUAGAGUGGGGCAGGGGUUGCGGGAAUUCCCGGUGUAGCGGUGAAAUGCGUAGAUAUCGGGAAGAACAACUGUGGCGAAAGCGCGCAACUGGGCCCUCACUGACGCUGAGGUACGAAAGCUAGGGGAGCGAAUGGG